UGCGAUGUGGGUUCAAUCACA
Non-coding RNA from Caenorhabditis elegans, 21 nucleotides. The record is from Ensembl. Lineage: Eukaryota; Metazoa; Nematoda; Chromadorea; Rhabditida; Rhabditidae.